This 333-nucleotide long non-coding RNA is filed under the name Homo sapiens (human). RNAcentral's name for it is "HSALNT0355511". Lineage: Eukaryota; Metazoa; Chordata; Mammalia; Primates; Hominidae. The record is from RNAcentral.
CUGUGGUGGCAACACGGCAGUCUGUCCUCUCGGUCUUCUGAGCUCUAGGUCCCAGUGCCUGAGUUGAGCGACUGGCAGCCGCCUUUUCCCUCCUUGGGAGGGGCGGGGCCAUGGGGCGGGGCUCAGAGAUGGGGUUCCCAAGAUCCCAAGAGGCCCCAGCAACUGGAGCACGACAGCUGGCCCAGCCCUCGUCCUCAGGCUCAUCUCAAACUCCUGGACUGAAGUGAUCCGCCUGCCUCCACCUCCCAAAGUGCUGGAUUCCAGGCGUGAGCCAGCGUGCCCAGUGGCUUUUCUGCUUUUUUCACUGAUAAAAAAUGUUUGAUUUGCACGUUU